CCCCUUCGAAAAGCACUCAUUGGGCCUUUUGCUAAUGACCCACUGAGCCUUCGAGAAAGGGCAAAGUGAAAACACAGCUUUUGGGUGAAGUGGCAGCGUGUUGUGUUGUUUCAUUUCAAUCGGUGGCGUGACAAGG
Small nucleolar RNA from Artibeus jamaicensis (Jamaican fruit-eating bat), 136 nucleotides. NCBI's taxonomy places the organism in Eukaryota, Metazoa, Chordata, Mammalia, Chiroptera, Phyllostomidae. The record is from RefSeq and is a predicted model, not a curated record.